AUGCUGCAAUCACCAUGGGGAUGGUGCUUCUCAAUGAAGCUGCCACCUCCAAGGGAGAUGUUGGCAAGAGAAGAAUCAUCUGCCUGGUUGGCCUUGGCCUGGUGGUGUUUUUCUUUAGUUUCCUGCUCUCCAUCUUCAGGUCCAAGUACCAUGGAUACCCCUACAGCUUCCUUAUUAAGUGAACAAACACAGUAGAGACAGCCAGAAAAAAUGUCGGAUGUGGUAGGUGAGAAGAAGAGGAGUUGAGAACAUACUUGAAGAGGAGGCAGUGUCACUACUGAGUCUAAAGUGCAUGGUCUGGUUUCUAUUAGUGUAUGUGUCGUUGUUGUUUUUUUGGGGUUUUUUUUUUUUUUUUACUUAACUACUACCAAUAAAUCUGCAAGCUGAAUAUGGUUGUCACUUCAUACACUGGACAAUAAAGGCACCAUUUUGCAUGUCAUGUAUCUUUGUUGUUUUUUCAUGACUCUUUAGCGCUAAAGUUUUUUAUGUGGUUAUAUAAACUGACCAGUGACAGUGGCAGUCUAAUCAUUUGUGACAUAUUGUAAACAUGAAUUGAACCAUAUUUUUCAAAAAUGCUGUUAAAAGUAAAACUGGAAACUAAAGAUUUAUGGUGGGUUAAUGGGGAUAAAAAUGGGGCCAAAAUCUCUAGUUCAAUUCAGUAUUUUUAAGUAACAUGGACUAAGUAACCCUCUUUAUUAAGUACAUCUUGUUCGCACUGGGUGGGACGCCAUUUUGUCUUCAGAACUUCCUUAAUUCUUUAUGACAUAGCCCCAUAUUGAUUGUCCAUACUGAACAAUAGCAUGACGGAGUUGCAUGUCAAAUUCUGUCCCCACAAUCUGAACAUCACAGCUUCGACACUCAUUGGAAAUCAGGAGUCAUCAGACCAAGCAACUUUUUUUUCUUUAUCUUCUAUUGUCCAGUGUUGUCUGUGAAGGUUCUCAGUCAUCCAGGUC
Non-coding RNA from Neolamprologus brichardi, 953 nucleotides. The record is from RefSeq and is a predicted model, not a curated record. NCBI's taxonomy places the organism in Eukaryota, Metazoa, Chordata, Actinopteri, Cichliformes, Cichlidae.